RNAcentral lists this ribosomal RNA (132 nucleotides) under uncultured bacterium. Its description in RNAcentral is "partial 16S ribosomal RNA". It matches the Rfam family "Bacterial small subunit ribosomal RNA", at positions 355 to 504 of the family's 1533-position model. The record is from RNAcentral.
UGGGGAAUCUUGCACAAUGGGGGAAACCCUGAUGCAGCGAUGCCGCGUGAGUGAAGAAGGCCCUUGGGUUGUAAAACUCUUUCGUCGGGGAAGAAAAUGACUGUACCCGAAUAAGAAGGUCCGGCUAACUUC